UAAGAUAAUUCUGCCUACUUU
RNAcentral lists this non-coding RNA (21 nucleotides) under Caenorhabditis elegans. Lineage: Eukaryota; Metazoa; Nematoda; Chromadorea; Rhabditida; Rhabditidae. The record is from RNAcentral.